This 6816-nucleotide long non-coding RNA is filed under the name Podarcis lilfordi (Lilford's wall lizard). Lineage: Eukaryota; Metazoa; Chordata; Lepidosauria; Squamata; Lacertidae. The record is from RNAcentral.
UAUCAUUUUAGUUUUCUUUUUGUUCAGUUUAAAACCUGCUACGUGCCCAAAUUGUUCUGUCUCUUCUAGCACUUCUUUAGCACUGGUUGUUGGUUCUUCUAUUGUUAGUACUAAGUCAUCUGCAAAGGCUUUCACUUUAUACUCCUUCCGACCUACUGAAAUUCCUUUUAUUUUUUCAUUUCUCCUUAUUGUCCUUAGGAAGACUUCCAGUACCGAUAUGAAUAACAAUGGUGAUAAUGGACACCCUUGUCUUGUACCUUUCAUAAUCUCAAUAUUUUCUGUUAUUAUGUCAUUUACUAUCAGUUUUGCUCUUUAUUCAGAGUAUAUUGCUUUUAUUCCUUUUAGAAAUGAUAGUCCAGUGUCCAUUAAUUCCAAAUUCUUUAACAUAAAUUCCCAGGAUAUAUUAUCAAAGGCCUUUUCUGCAUCUACAAAAAUUAACGUCGCCUGUUUUUCAUUUCUGGCAGUCAGAUAUUCGGUUAUAUUAACAAGAUUCCUUAUAUUAUCUUUCAUCUGUCUGCCAGGUAAAAAACCUGCUUGGUCCUUCUGAAUUAUUUAAUUCAAUAUUUUUUUCAGUCUGUUUGCCAAUAUACUCACAAACUAUUUAUAAUCAUUAUUUAGCAGCGAAAUCGGCCUAUAGUUCUUUACUUGGAUUUCCUGUGUCAGUGCAUCAUUCCCACCUACAAUUCCUCGGUUUGUGAACGUGGCUGGUUUGGGUUCCUUUCGACCAGUUGCUCAUAAUUUACUUUUGUUGUUGUUCAAAAUGGGUUUUUGCUGGUAGUGGGUUCAUAAAACUUUAAUAAAGCACAGGUCCCUUUCAAAAAAUUCAUUCUCACGUAUUCCACUAUAUAGUUUGGUGGGGUCCCCCACCUGGUUGUUUUGUUCCUUGCAGUCUUUUGAGGAAGUGUGUUGUGCAAGAACUCCAAUGCAGCUUUAAUUAUGCAACCUGAAUUUUCCUGUGUGUGACUGAAUCCCACCCCAAAACAGAGAUUGUUUGGAAAUGUCCUUUGUCAGAUGCAUCAAGCAUGAAUUUAAGCUUACAGUUAUAGUGGAUCCUCCAGAUAUGAACUUAAUUUGUUCCGGGGGUCCGUGCGCAACCCAAAAAGUCCGCAAGCAGAGGCACUGCUUCUGCGGCACGCUAGAGCUUUUCUGUGCACACGCGAGAGGCAAAAACCCAGAAGUAUACUUCCGGGUUUGCCAGCUCCCCGACCCCAAGAAAAGACCAGUCUAGAGAGGCAGGUGAGCAUUACAGCUAAACCCCAUGUUAUACUCUCCAGUAGCUAUUCACUCAGACAGGGCUAUUUUCAUUCAGCUCCUACAGUGUCCAGGGUGGGGGGAAUGUUUUUUACCUUUCUUUUUCCCCUUCCUUGCAGUCUUUCCUAGUAAAUAAUUGCUGGAAACAGAAGCUACAGAGCUCUCACAGAAGGAAGCUUAGACUUGAGAAUCAUAGAAUCAUAGAGUUGGAAGAGACCACAAGGGCCAUCGAGUCCAACCCCCUGCCAAGCAGGAAACAACAUCAGAGCACUCCUGACAUAUGGUUGUCAAGCCUCUGCUUAAAGACCUCCAAAGAAGGAGACUCCACCACACUCCUUGGCAGCAAAUUCCACUGUCUAACAGCUCUUACUGUCAGGAAGUUCUUCCUAAUGUUUAGGUGGAAUCUUCUUUCUUGUAGUUUGGAUCAAUUGCUCCGUGUCCGCUUCUCUGGAGCAGCAGAAAACAACCUUUCUCCCUCCUCUAUGUGACAUCCUUUUAUAUAUUUGAACAUAGCUAUCAUAUCACCCCUUAACCUCCUCUUCUCCAGGCUAAACAUGCCCAGCUCCUUAGCCGUUCCUCAUAAGGCAUCGUUUCCAGGCCUUUGACCAUUUUGGUUGCCCUCCUCUGGACACGUUCCAGUUUGUCAGUGUCCUUCUUGAACUGUGGUGCCCAGAACUGGACACAGUACUCCAGGUGAGGUCUGACCAGAGCAGAAUACAGUGGCACUAUUACUUCCCUUGAUCUAGAUGCUAUACUCCUAUUGAUGCAGCCCAGAAUUGCAUUGGCUUUUUAGCUGCCGCGUCACACUGUUGGCUCAUGUCAAGUUUGUGGUCAACCAAGACUCCUAGAUCCUUUUCACAUGUACUGCUCUCAAGCCAGGUGUCACCCAUCUUGUAUUUGUGCCUCUCAUUUUUUUGCCCAAGUGCAAUACUUUACAUUUCUCCCUGUUAAAGUUCAUCUUGUUUGUUUUGGCCCAGUUCUCUAAUCUGUCAAGGUCGUUUUGAAGUGUGAGCCUGUCCUCUGGGGUGUUAGCCACCCCUCCCAGUUUGGUGUCAUCUGCAAAUUUGAUCAGGAUGCCCUUGAGUCCAUCAUCCAAGUCGUUGAUAAAGAUGUUGAAUAAGACCGGGCCCAAGACAGAACCCUGUGGCACCCCACUAGUCACUCUUCUCCAGGAUGAAGAGGAACCAUUGAUGAGCACCCUUUGGGUUCAGUCAGUCAGCCAGUUACAAAUCCACUGAGUGGUAGCAUAGUCAAGACCGCAUUUUACCAGCUUCUUUACAAGAAUAUCAUGGGGCACCUUGUCAAAUGCCUUGCUGAAAUCAAGGUAGGCUACAUCCACUGCGUUCCCUUCAUCUACCAGGCUUGUAAUUCUGUAAAAAAAGAGAUCAGGUUAGUCUGACAUGACUUAUUUUUCAGAAAUCCAUGCUGACUAUUGGUGAUCACAGCAUUCCUUUCUAGGUGCUCACAGACUGUUUGCUUAAUGAUCUGCUCCAGAAUCUUCCCUGGUAUUGAUGUCAGACUGACUGGGCGGUAAUUAUUUGGGUCCUCUCUUUUCCCCUUUUUGAAAAUAGGGACAACAUUUGCCCUCCUCCAGUCUGCCUGGAGAAAUCCAGGCUAAGAACUGAUAUUGUGGAUACCUUUUUGGGGGAUCGAAACCGGGAAAGAGGGGGGUGAGAGUUUUUGAAUCCAAAAGGAGUAUAAUUUUAUGAUUUUUAUGUUUAGUUAUUAUGUUCAGUAAUUAAUAUAAAAAUGGGGAAAUUUGUGGAAGGGAACUUAGGUCGACCUUUGGAAAGGAUGUAAUGAUUAUAAUUGAUGUGUACAAGUUAAAUUUAGUUAAUUAAGAAGAACUAAGUUUAAAAAAAUGAUAUUAAUAUUGUAAAGAUAAGAGAUAAGAACUUGCUGAACUAACUAUUGGAAUUGAAACUAUUGAAAAGUCCCUUCCAAGAGCUCGUAAACCUUGUAGCCAAAACAUUCUCUGGUUUUGUUUCGCUAUCCCAAGCAACGGGGCUCAAGGUAUGCUGCAUUUCGGGCUAAAAGUGUGAACGCAGGAAGAUUAAUUCCCUGGUUCACGGAGCUGCGUUUCAAAGAAAACAAGAGCUCCGGAAGAAGAGGCCUGCAGCUUGAAGGCUGAAGCCUGCAUUCCACAAAUUUUUGUGGUAGAUAAGACGUCCUAUUGAAAUGCAUUGUUGCUAGGUAACGGUCCUGGAAAGUUACUGGCAAGGGGCUGGACUCUGCGUGUAAGCCUGGGAAAGCGAAACAAAACCAGAGAAUGUUUUGGCUACAAGGUUUACGAGCUCUUGGAAGGGACUUUUCAAUAGCAGCCUGAGUUUAGCUGCCAGGUGCAAAGAGCGUAAACAAUUUGCAGUUUGCUGCGUGAGAAAGGAAAAAAACAACUGUUGGAUUUUACAGUUUGUUUGACAUUGUGAGCUGGAGGCUUGGCUUCAAGAUGGAUGCCAAGAAAGGGGGGAGGUUUGCCUUGCCCACCUCCCUUAACCAAUGACAAUUAUUCAUCUUGGUCUGUAAAGGUGAAGGCCCGGCUGCAGAAUCAGAGGCUUUUAGAUGCACUUGAAAACCCCAUCCCUGCAGCACCAACCAGAGGUUGGGAGUCACAGAAUGUAAGGGCCAGGACUGCUAUAAUUCUGUGUGUCUCAGAUGAUCAGUUGGUGCAUGUUCAGCAUUUAGAAAAUGCGAAAGAGGUAUGGGACACGCUGCGUACAACGCAUCAGAGAGAUGCUGGUUCUUCAGCGUUGCUGUAUUUUGAGAAAUUGACCAAUCUGAGACUUGCGCCUGAUGGAGAUGUUCAAGCGCACCUGACAGAAAUGAAGUUUCUGCGUCAACAGAUGGUGGAACGCAAUUUUCGUCUUCAGGAGGAAGUGUUUUGCUUCAUGAUGAUAAACAGCCUUAGCCGCACCUACAAGGUUGUUGCCAGUCAGCUUGGUUCCCUACCGGCCGCGCAGCUGACCGCGGAGAGAGUUUGUGCUGUGGUCCUGAAUGAACACGACAGACUUGCUGCACUGGAAGAAAAAGACAGGGGGAGGGAAGAACAGAGUUCUAAUUCCCCACUGCUGAUGCUACUGGAGAGCAUGGUGUAGCAUUGAGUGCUGUCCGAUGCUACAAUUGUGGACAGACUGGGCAUCUACAGCGAAACUGUAAGAAGCCGCGCCAGUCAAGAGGAGCAAAGAGCAGCUCUACGAAGCCUCAGGCGUCAGGCAAAAGCCGUUCCAAGUGCCAGGUGAAACCUGCAAAGGCUAUGAUGGCGAAAGGAACCACGCCAGAUGUUGGCAACUCGUUCAUAAUUGACACGGGCGCAACGGUUCACAUGUGCCCGCACAGAGGACUGUUUUCGACGUUGAAGAAGCAAAGCUUCACUGUGAAACAGGCCAACGGUCAGGAGUUGGAAGCGACUGGAAUUGGGACUGUGUAUCUUGAGAGUCUGAACUUGACUAUAAGUGAUGUUUACCUGGUUCCAGAACUGAGAUUUAAUCUGCUGAGCGUGUCGCAGAUUGCAAAGAAAGGACUGAAACUGUCCUAUGAUGCUAAAAGCUGCAAGAUCUACAAAGAUGGAGAACUGUUUCUUACUGCCAAAGAGAAAGAUGGACUGUAUUUGUUGACUUUUGAUCAAAGUGAUUACAUGAAAUGUAAUUCUGCUGUUUCUAACGAAAUCUCUCUUGCAGGAGUGACCAGUGUGAGCACCAGGAAGGUGACUAAGACCAAAAAGGUCGACAGAGCAUUUCAGCGGGUGUAUGCUGAUGUGAUUGGUCCUCUAGAACCAUCUAGAGGCGGUGCAAAGUAUUACCUUUUGUGUGUGGAUUGUUUCACUAAUUAUUCUUGGGUUUAUAUGAUGGAGAAACCGCAAGAAACUUUAGAAAAGUUUCAGGAGUUUUGUGACAAGGUUAAAGGUAUGCAUGAUGCUAACAUUGAUUGUCUUUUCACAGAUGAGAAGCAAAUUUUUCUGUUGCAGAAGUUUCAGAAGUUCCUGGAUGGAAAAGGGAUAGACCACAAAGUUGCAGUCUCGCAAGAAGCGUGGAACAGGGGGUCUGUGUGAGAGUGAACAAAGAAUUGCAAAGGGGAUGAAUGCGCAAUUGCUGAGUUCACAUUUGCCACAUGAAUAUUGGGCCGAAUCGCUAGCGUCCUAUCUUCAUGUGUGGUUGAGAAAAGUCUCAACAGAGUUGGGAUGUUCUCCUUUUGAGAAGCUGUUCAAUAGAAAACCUUCUGUUGCCUAUUUUAAGGUUUUCGGGUCUCAUGUGAGAACAGAAGCUCCAGGUGGAGUAAAGAAUGCCAGAGGCAUUUUUGUGGGAUAUGAAAAGGGUCUCUACAGAGUAAUUUUGUCUGAAUCUGGUCAGGUGAUUCUCACAAAGUUCCUAGAGAGUGCUCCAAAGCAAGAGCGGAUAGUACAAACAUUUCCCACAGGAAACGAUUCUGAUGAUGAUGAUGAUGAGUUUGAUCUUAUUGAGUUCAGUAGUACUGAUGAUGACACUGAUAGCUCAGAGAGUUCAGUUGUAACAGUCAUUGAGAGGAAAUCUCACACAAUGGAUAGACCUUCACAGGUGAAGGAAGAACCACUGAUUGCUACUGGUUCUCAACAGAGUCCAAAGGUUGAACCAGUGAGCACAGAGGAUCAGAACCUCAUACGUAGGUCUGAGAGAGCAACGAAGGGUGUACCACCCAAGAGGUAUUCAAAGGCGUUUGCUAACCUUGCAUAUGUUGCUAUUGUAAACGACCAAGGACAGAUUCAAGCUGUGUCUGAGUCAGAGACAAAGGCACAACAGAGAGGUGUUAACCAAGGUAAUGCGAAGUCACACAACCAGAGAGGUACAUUGGUUAAACCAGUGGCGGGUAGUUCCAAGGGUGGAACUGAAACAACAGGGGAAUGUUAUAAAUAUAACAACUGUUUGUUUUCUUCUCUGGAUGACGCUUUGCUCGCAGCACACAUUGAUACUUUAGGGGGAGUAUGUUACCAUAAAGCACCAAUGCUGCAGCAAGCAAAGGCUCUAGCAGCUCAGCCAGCUGCUUGUGGCUGGAAAGCCAGGCAGGAUGUUUGUGACUGUUGCCAUGGGAACAAAGGGGCAGUCCAUUCUGUACUGAGCACCGGAUGUUAGCUCAGUGUGUGUGUGUCAUAUGACCCGUACUGGAUGUACUUGGGAGGAGUUUCUUCUUGCUGUUGUUGAGUGCAGACAUGAUUCUCUGUACUGAUGUAAGAGGCAGAAAUAAAUGAUGUAAAUAGUUUUCUGUCUGCUUCUUUCCCCUCCCUGGGGACACCAAAGGGGAGAGAGGAAGAACGGUGUGUUCCUCUCAUACAUCUGAGAAGAAUCGCCGGACCUCGCCUGCUUAUCAGCAGAGGUUGGGAGACGCGGGGAGGUCGACAGGAAUAUCUGCCGGUGCCUACGCUGUGGCACAUUCCUCUGACCCAGGCAGAAUUCCAACAGUAUGAAGGGGAGGUGUGGGGAAGUCAGAGAAUGUGGUUAUGAAAGUAAGGAUUUGAAACUAUACAUGUUUGUCUUUGUCUUUGUCUUUGUGUGUUUGUAAUGUCUAUAUAAAAUGUGAAAACCCAAUAAAAAUUUUAUU